Long non-coding RNA from Lactuca sativa (garden lettuce), 1773 nucleotides. RefSeq lists it as uncharacterized. NCBI's taxonomy places the organism in Eukaryota, Viridiplantae, Streptophyta, Magnoliopsida, Asterales, Asteraceae. The record is from RefSeq and is a predicted model, not a curated record.
UCUCUAACUUCUCUCUAACCUCCCUAAACCCCUCCCAAGUCUAGGGAACCUCCCUAUCACGAGAAGAAAGCCCCGGAGCGCCCGACGGCUCCGAGAAGAAAAGAUUUCGGCUCGGAAACGCUGCUCCAGCGAAGCCUGGUUUUUAAUAAAAACCCGCUGUUUCGUCAAGGGAUAAUUGUUUUAAGAGUAACGAAGUGCUGUCCGAGUGCCGACUCACCACCUUUCAGGUGACGAAGUGAAGUGACAUUGCACUGAGAGAUUUAAAAGAUAUGUAGAUCACUAGUGUAAAUCAUUGUAAGUUCUGUUUAUGCUUAUGUUUCGGUAUUAACGAUGACAUCCCAAACAUUUUAAAAUGAAAUAAAUACGUUUCUUCAAAAAUGUUUUAAUAACGUAUUUACCAUGUUUUUCUGGGAACAAAUUCCGCAACCUUUUUAUAAAAUGAAGUACUCUGAUUUUUAUAAAGCAUAAACAAAAUCGGUCUUUUAUGGCCGUGAUUUUGGGGAUGUCACAAGUCAGUUAAAUGGUCAUAAGAAAAAUAUAUUUAAGAAUUAGGGCCAAUCAUGAUAAUAAAGUUAUAAUUAGAUAUAUGCAUGUAUCAUGUCAUUGGUAAAUUGUCCAAAUCUUGUCACAAAUGUUUCGUGUUUAAGUGGACCACAAUACUGGUGAUCGAUCAGACGAAGAUGUGAAGAUAAGGGUACCGAUAAGUGGAAUAAGGUUGUCCAAUAACUUUGAUCCCAAAUCACUCUUAAAGUUAGCUAUUAUUUUUGUUUUUGUUAAGUUCGUUCAUAGUGUUCUUCUAAUUUAAAUAAAAGGGGAGAAUUAAAAUUUAAAAAAAAAUCAAAAAAAAUUCAAAAUCAAAAAUAGUGUUAUUUUUGUUUUACUUUUUGUUCUAAGUUUUCUUUUAGUUUUGUUUUGUCUUGAAAAGUGAUUUCAGGUAUAGAUAAGACUCAUGGAGAUUGUGUCGAAAAUUUAUGAACCAAGGCUUCGUCCGUGAGCAUCAAAGAAUUUUCAUUCGAAGAAGCAAGAAAUGAAUAUUAUUCUUUCGACAUUCAAUUCUUCAACCCCAGAAGCAAGGUGAAGCAGAAAUUGAAGAUUAUGUGACGGAUUGCAUUGGAGCCUCCUCAAUCAGUCUGCUGCUAUCGUUGUACCUGCUGAAGUGAUCCAGAAGAUUUGUUCUCUCUGAUGUUCUCUCUGAAGAUUCUCAAGCUGAAAGCGCUAUCUUUCAAGAAUCAGUACGUCAAGCCUCCUCACCCAAUGUGCGUUUAAUGUCAAAUUCUGAAGAAAACCUCAAGUGCUCAAGAUGAAGUCAUUCAUUGAAGAUUCAUAUGUUCAUCCUGAUGCUGUGAAGAAAUCGAAGGUUAAAGCUGAAGCCAAGCUCCCAUUGGAAAUUGACAAGAAGAGCUAGUUACUUUUUAGGGGGAGCUUGUUGGGUCAAUUAAGAAAAGAAAGUUAUAAACCAAGAGGGAGAUUGUUGGGUCAAAAAUAUGGUUUAUACUUUACUUUUCUGGGCAAUUGUAUUUUUCUGUAAUAUUUUUGGAGUUUACGAUCAUGUUUACGGUUGAGUUUACGGCCGUAAACACCUUAUGACCGUAAACCCAUUUACGGCCCAUGUUAUCCGGCCCAUGUUCUCCAAGUAUAAAUAUAGGUGUUAGGGUGAGGAGUAGAGAUUGAUGAACUGAAUAGAGAGAAACGGGAGCUUAUGUGUGUGUGUGUGUGAAUCUCAUGUAAAGGAGCAUCACUCCAAUCUAUUCAAUACAUUGAAGAUUCAUAUUA